AUAUAAGAAGCGCCAGGACCUUUUGGUUGACGAGGAGUGGAGUUAUCGAAAAAUUCGGCGGAUGCUCCACAGGUAUUACAGCCUUAGUAAUGUACAAAUAUUUCUAGUAAUAGGAUAACAAAAUCAUU
Molecule: non-coding RNA, 128 nt
Filed under: Anaerococcus octavius
Lineage: Bacteria; Bacillati; Bacillota; Tissierellia; Tissierellales; Peptoniphilaceae
Description: glmS glucosamine-6-phosphate activated ribozyme
Rfam family: glmS glucosamine-6-phosphate activated ribozyme aptamer
About the family: This entry contains a glucosamine-6-phosphate activated ribozyme that is found in the mRNA for GlmS. GlmS is an enzyme that uses fructose-6-phosphate and glutamine to generate glucosamine-6-phosphate.
Source: RNAcentral